GAUGAACGCUGGCGGCGUGCCUAAUACAUGCAAGUCGAGCGAACAGACGAGGAGCUUGCUCCUCUGACGUUAGCGGCGGACGGGUGAGUAACACGUGGAUAACCUACCUAUAAGACUGGGAUAACUUCGGGAAACCGGAGCUAAUACCGGAUAAUAUAUUGAACCGCAUGGUUCAAUAGUGAAAGACGGUUUUGCUGUCACUUAUAGAUGGAUCCGCGCCGCAUUAGCUAGUUGGUAAGGUAACGGCUUACCAAGGCAACGAGGCGUAGCCGACCUGAGAGAGUGAUCGGCCACACGGGAACUGAGACACGGUCAAGACUCCUACGGGAGGCAGCAGUAGGGAAUCUUACGCAAUGGGCGAAAGCCUGACGGAGCAACGCCGCGUGAGUGAUGAAGGUCUUCGGAUCGUAAAACUCUGUUAUUAGGGAAGAACAAAUGUGUAAGUAACUAUGCACGUCUUGACGGUACCUAAUCAGAAAGCCACGGCUAACUACGUG
Molecule: ribosomal RNA, 497 nt
Filed under: uncultured bacterium
Lineage: Bacteria
Description: partial 16S ribosomal RNA
Rfam family: Bacterial small subunit ribosomal RNA
Source: RNAcentral